CAUGUCUCAGUACAAGCCACAUUAAGGUGAAACCGCGAAAGGCUCAUUAAAUCAGUUAUGGUUCCUUAGAUCGUACCCACAUUUACUUGGAUAACUGUGGUAAUUCUAGAGCUAAUACAUGCUUACAGAGUUCCGACCGGAGACGGGAGGAAUGCUUUUAUUAGAUCAAAACCAAUCGGCGGCGUGGGCGUUCGCGCGCUCACGUUCGCCGCUCAACCUGGUGAAUCUGAAUAACUUUCUGCUGAUCGCACGGUCUAGCACCGGCGACGCAUCUUUCAAAUGUCUGCCUUAUCAACUUACGAUGGUAGGUUCUGCGCCUACCAUGGUCAUAACGGGUAACGGGGAAUCAGGGUUCGAUUCCGGAGAGGGAGCCUGAGAAACGGCUACCACAUCCAAGGAAGGCAGCAGGCGCGCAAAUUACCCACUCCCGGCACGGGGAGGUAGUGACGAAAAAUAACGAUACGGGA
Molecule: ribosomal RNA, 467 nt
Filed under: Agaporomorphus tambopatensis
Lineage: Eukaryota; Metazoa; Arthropoda; Insecta; Coleoptera; Dytiscidae
Description: SSU rRNA
Rfam family: Eukaryotic small subunit ribosomal RNA
Source: RNAcentral